UACGGGGGGGGCAAGCGUUGUUCGGAAUUACUGGGCGUAAAGGGCUCGUAGGCGGCCAACUAAGUCAGACGUGAAAUCCCUCGGCUUAACCGGGGAACUGCAUCUGAUACUGGAUGGCUUGAGUUCGGGAGAGGGAUGCGGAAUUCCAGGUGUAGCGGUGAAAUGCGUAGAUAUCUGGAGGAACACCGGUGGCGAAGGCAGCUCUCUGGGACGGUAUUGACGCUGAGGCGCGAAAGCCAGGGGAGCAAACGGG
This 253-nucleotide ribosomal RNA is filed under the name uncultured bacterium. RNAcentral describes it as "partial 16S ribosomal RNA". It matches the Rfam family "Bacterial small subunit ribosomal RNA", at positions 524 to 776 of the family's 1533-position model. The record is from RNAcentral.